This 288-nucleotide unclassified non-coding RNA is filed under the name Hevea brasiliensis (rubber tree). Lineage: Eukaryota; Viridiplantae; Streptophyta; Magnoliopsida; Malpighiales; Euphorbiaceae. The record is from RNAcentral.
GAAGAAAGGGAGGGAACAUUUGCCAAAAUAUUUACCGGCGAUGAUUCAUGGUCCCAAAGGUCCGGAGACCUUGAUAAUUCUCCAAGGCUACCUGCUGCCGGAAAUGCAGAAGAUCAUGACACUAUGGAAGUGACAGACGUCAUUGAAGCUAACUUGACGUCAGAAAUGGGAAAUUCCUCAGAUCAACAUGAUGACCAAACAUAUAGUUUUAAACGUUUUGAUAUCACAACAGAUCCUUAUGAUCAUCAUUUUCUUGGUACAAGUGGCCAGAAUAAUGCUGGGAGGAAG